RNAcentral lists this ribosomal RNA (485 nucleotides) under uncultured bacterium. RNAcentral describes it as "bacterial SSU rRNA". It matches the Rfam family "Bacterial small subunit ribosomal RNA", at positions 55 to 524 of the family's 1533-position model. The record is from RNAcentral.
AUGCAAGUAGAACGCUGAAGGAGGAGCUUGCUUCUCUGGAUGAGUUGCGAACGGGUGAGUAACGCGUAGGUAACCUGCCUGGUAGCGGGGGAUAACUAUUGGAAACGAUAGCUAAUACCGCAUAAUAGCAGUUAUUGCAUGAUAACUGUUUGAAAGGUGCAAUUGCACCACUACCAGAUGGACCUGCGUUGUAUUAGCUAGUUGGUGGGGUAACGGCUCACCAAGGCGACGAUACAUAGCCGACCUGAGAGGGUGAUCGGCCACACUGGGACUGAGACACGGCCCAGACUCCUACGGGAGGCAGCAGUAGGGAAUCUUCGGCAAUGGACGGAAGUCUGACCGAGCAACGCCGCGUGAGUGAAGAAGGUUUUCGGAUCGUAAAGCUCUGUUGUAAGAGAAGAACGAGUGUGAGAGUGGAAAGUUCACACUGUGACGGUAUCUUACCAGAAAGGGACGGCUAACUACGUGCCAGCAGCCGCGGUAAU